RNAcentral lists this ribosomal RNA (403 nucleotides) under Theba pisana. RNAcentral's name for it is "partial large subunit ribosomal RNA". Lineage: Eukaryota; Metazoa; Mollusca; Gastropoda; Stylommatophora; Helicidae. The record is from RNAcentral.
AACUAUAUGUUAUUAUAUAUAGCUAUUCCUGCUCAAUGAUUUUAAAUAGCCGCAGUACCCUGMCUGUGCAAAGGUAGCAUAAUCAGUUGGCUUUUAAUUGGAGUCUGGCAUGAACGGAUUUCUGGAAAGUAACUGUAUCUUAUUUAUUUACGCGAAAUUAAUUUGUAAGUGAAAAUACUUACAUCUUUAGAGAGGACGAGAAGACCCUAGAAAUUUCUUUUAUUUUGUUGGGGCGACAGAAUUACAAUUAAACUAAUUUGAAUUAACGUGGCGUUAUUACAGUUCGAUUAAAUUACUCUAGGGAUAACAGCAUAAUUUAACUAGUUUGUGACCUCGAUGUUGGACUAGGACAUUAAUGGUUUAGAAGACCUUUAAUAGUGCUCUGUUCGAGCAAGUAUUUCCU